This 253-nucleotide ribosomal RNA is filed under the name uncultured bacterium. RNAcentral describes it as "partial 16S ribosomal RNA". It matches the Rfam family "Bacterial small subunit ribosomal RNA", at positions 524 to 776 of the family's 1533-position model. The record is from RNAcentral.
UACGUAGGGGGCAAGCGUUGUCCGGAUUUAUUGGGCGUAAAGAGCGUGUAGGCGGCCUGACAGGUCUGCUGUGAAAACUCGAGGCUCAACCUCGAGAUGUCGGCGGAAACCGUCUGGCUAGAGUCCGGAAGAGGAGAGUGGAAUUCCUGGUGUAGCGGUGAAAUGCGCAGAUAUCAGGAAGAACACCCGUGGCGAAGGCGGCUCUCUGGGCCGAUACUGACGCUGAGGAGCGAAAGCGUGGGGAGCAAACAGG